This is a long non-coding RNA of Eucalyptus grandis, 665 nucleotides long. RefSeq lists it as uncharacterized. Lineage: Eukaryota; Viridiplantae; Streptophyta; Magnoliopsida; Myrtales; Myrtaceae. The record is from RefSeq and is a predicted model, not a curated record. The transcript has 3 exons.
CUGUUUCUGUCUUUCCUUUCUGAACCCUCUCCUUGUCAACAUUGGAGAAAUUCUGGACAUCUGCAAACCUGUUUUCCUCCAAUAAAAUUAGAAUCUACCUAAUGCUGAUGAUAAUCUCCUGCUUACAAAGAGAGUUAUGCUUUUUGGCUGAAUUAGUGAAUCGUGUUUCCUGACAAGUACGUGUGAUUAUUGAGGUCCUGAAUUUUUAGUUGAUCAACUAAAUCAAGGUGUAUGCAUUCCGUUUCAGUUCUUUCAAAGGACAGGAAAUAGGGAAUGAAAAGGUGAUUGCCAUUCUUGAUCUGCAAAAGCUAAGUUACAAGAAUGUUGAUGUACGUGGAUUCAUCACUGGAUUUCAGUUUUUACAGGCUUACUAUCCUGAGCGCCUGGCCAAGCUCUUCAUUCUGAAUAUGCCAGGGUUCUUUGUCAGUGUUUGGAGAAUGAUUUCUCGAUUCCUCGAGAAGGCAACACUGGAAAAGAUCGUGAUUGUGAGCAACGAAGAUGAACGAGAACAACUCUUCAAGGAAAUUGGCGCCGAAGUCUUGCCCGAAGAAUAUGGUGGGCAAGCAAAGCUUGUGCCCAUACAGGAUGUUGUUUUGCCCCCUUUGGAUAAUUAAUUUUAGUGACUGGAUAAAAAAAUCUUCAUUUCUUGGUUAAAAAGGGGAAGU